GGAGAGGUGCUAGAGCGGUCGAAUAGGCAGUCCUGGAAAGACUGUGUGCGGGAAACCGUACCGAGGGUUCGAAUCCCUCCCUCUCCG
RNAcentral lists this transfer RNA (87 nucleotides) under Parcubacteria group bacterium. RNAcentral's name for it is "tRNA-Ser". It matches the Rfam family "tRNA". Rfam says of the family: Transfer RNA (tRNA) molecules are approximately 80 nucleotides in length. Their secondary structure includes four short double-helical elements and three loops (D, anti-codon, and T loops). The record is from RNAcentral.